This is a long non-coding RNA of Glossina fuscipes, 557 nucleotides long. RefSeq lists it as uncharacterized. The record is from RefSeq and is a predicted model, not a curated record. The transcript has 2 exons. NCBI's taxonomy places the organism in Eukaryota, Metazoa, Arthropoda, Insecta, Diptera, Glossinidae.
AUAUUAAACAAAAAUUUAGUAGAAAUUAUAUAAGAAAAUAAAACAAAAAAAAAAAAAAUUUGGACACAGAACAGAACUCAAAUAUUGGGAACUAUUUUCAAAAUUAUUGGUUUGGACUUAAAGCAGGCAACACAUUCAACACCGGAAUAUUGAUGAACAACAAGCAACAACAGCAGCAACAAAAGCAGCAAAAUAUAAUACAAAUCUGGUUAUAUUGCAUUAAUGAGUAUAUGUGUGUUAGUUUGCAUAAAAAUUUCGUUUCGAUCUAAAUAAAAAUAAACAAAAAAAAAAAAAAAAAAACAAACAGUAAAUUAAACAAAAAAAAAAACUUUUUUAUAAAGCAAAAGGAAAAAGUCAUCAAAAACAUAAUAAUAAUAAUCCAUUGUGUGAAUCAUCAAAGCAAAGUAGGAGCAAAAAAAGUCUUUUUGAACACAAAAACAAAAAGAGAAGAAAAGCUUUCUUCAAUCAAACAUCAGAGAAAGCAAUUGUCGCGCUACUAUCAACAUAAGUGAGAAAAUAGGCGACGGAUAUAUCAAAAUUAAGAAUAAAAAAAUAUU